CGGGUGAGUAACGCGUAAACAACCUGCCCUUCGGAUGGGGACAACAGNUGGAAACGGCUGCUAAUACCGAAUACGUUCUUUUCAUCGCAUGGUGAGAAGAAGAAAGGACGGCCUCUACACAAAGCGGUCGCCGAAGGAGGGGUUUGCGUCUGAUUAGCUAGUUGGAGGGGUAACGGCCCAACAAGGCGACGAUCAGUAGCCGGUCUGAGAGGAUGAACGGCCACAUUGGGACUGAGACACGGCCCAGACUCCUACGGGAGGCAGCAGGC
This 269-nucleotide ribosomal RNA is filed under the name uncultured Dialister sp. RNAcentral describes it as "partial 16S ribosomal RNA". It matches the Rfam family "Bacterial small subunit ribosomal RNA", at positions 103 to 354 of the family's 1533-position model. The record is from RNAcentral. Lineage: Bacteria; Bacillati; Bacillota; Negativicutes; Veillonellales; Veillonellaceae.